RNAcentral lists this ribosomal RNA (439 nucleotides) under uncultured Bifidobacteriaceae bacterium. RNAcentral describes it as "bacterial SSU rRNA". It matches the Rfam family "Bacterial small subunit ribosomal RNA", at positions 355 to 794 of the family's 1533-position model. The record is from RNAcentral. Lineage: Bacteria; Bacillati; Actinomycetota; Actinomycetes; Bifidobacteriales; Bifidobacteriaceae.
UGGGGAAUAUUGCACAAUGGGCGCAAGCCUGAUGCAGCGACGCCGCGUGCGGGAUGGAGGCCUUCGGGUUGUAAACCGCUUUUGUUCAAGGGCAAGGCGGGUCUUCGGGCCCGUUGAGUGGAUUGUUCGAAUAAGCACCGGCUAACUACGUGCCAGCAGCCGCGGUAAUACGUAGGGUGCAAGCGUUAUCCGGAUUUAUUGGGCGUAAAGGGCUCGUAGGCGGUUCGUCGCGUCCGGUGUGAAAGUCCAUCGCUUAACGGUGGAUCCGCGCCGGGUACGGGCGGGCUUGAGUGCGGUAGGGGAGACUGGAAUUCCCGGUGUAACGGUGGAAUGUGUAGAUAUCGGGAAGAACACCAAUGGCGAAGGCAGGUCUCUGGGCCGUUACUAACGCUGAGGAGCGAAAGCGUGGGGAGCGAACAGGAUUAGAUACCCUGGUAGU